GUGUCAGAUAAUAUUCUCCUUCGUAUAUCCUCGAUAAUAAGGUUCGAGAGUCUCUACCGGGUUGCCGAAAAUGACCUGACUAUGAAGGCAGGAUUCUUUAUA
Fictibacillus phosphorivorans is the source of this 102-nucleotide non-coding RNA. NCBI's taxonomy places the organism in Bacteria, Bacillati, Bacillota, Bacilli, Caryophanales, Fictibacillaceae. The record is from Rfam.